UCAGAUGCAAAAGCACAAUCCAGUGGCAGCUCUGGAAGCUCUGUGGGCUCUGAAGAUGAAGAUGAAGGUGAAGGUGAUACUUCUUCCUCUGAUUGAUGGUUCCCCCUCUUGUUUGUUAAAGACUGAAGACUGUAUGAGGUGUGCUGUGAAGACUGUGAAGCUGUUGUGGGUGAUGUUCUGCUGGUGCUGUAUGGAUGCUGAAGUUUUGUUUUUU
RNAcentral lists this long non-coding RNA (214 nucleotides) under Lathyrus oleraceus (garden pea). RNAcentral's name for it is "Pisum sativum (pea) long non-coding RNA (PSAT_LNC017601)". The record is from RNAcentral. Lineage: Eukaryota; Viridiplantae; Streptophyta; Magnoliopsida; Fabales; Fabaceae.